This 468-nucleotide ribosomal RNA is filed under the name uncultured bacterium. RNAcentral's name for it is "partial 16S ribosomal RNA". It matches the Rfam family "Bacterial small subunit ribosomal RNA", at positions 28 to 507 of the family's 1533-position model. The record is from RNAcentral.
GACGAACGCUGGCGGCGUGCUUAACACAUGCAAGUCGAACGGAAAGGCCCUGCUUUUGUGGGGUGCUCGAGUGGCGAACGGGUGAGUAACACGUGAGUAACCUGCCCUUGACUUUGGGAUAACUUCAGGAAACUGGGGCUAAUACCGGAUAGGAGCUCCUGCUGCAUGGUGGGGGUUGGAAAGUUUCGGCGGUUGGGGCUGGACUCGCGGCUUAUCAGCUUGUUGGUGGGGUAGUGGCUUACCAAGGCUUUGACGGGUAGCCGGCCUGAGAGGGUGACCGGCCACAUUGGGACUGAGAUACGGCCCAGAAUCCUACGGGAGGCAGCAGUGGGGAAUAUUGCACAAUGGGCGGAAGCCUGAUGCAGCAACGCCGCGUGCGGGAUGACGGCCUUCGGGUUGUAAACCGCUUUCGCCGGUGACGAAGCGUGAGUGACGGUAAUGGGUAAAGAAGCACCGGCUAACUACGUG